RNAcentral lists this ribosomal RNA (460 nucleotides) under uncultured bacterium. RNAcentral describes it as "partial 16S ribosomal RNA". It matches the Rfam family "Bacterial small subunit ribosomal RNA", at positions 338 to 795 of the family's 1533-position model. The record is from RNAcentral.
CCUACGGGGGGCAGCAGUGAGGAAUAUUGGUCAAUGGGCGCGAGCCUGAACCAGCCAAGUAGCAUGAAGGAUGACUGCCCUACGGGUUGUAAACUUCUUUUAUAAAGGAAUAAAGUGAGGCACGUGUGCCUUAUUGUGUGUACUUUAUGAAUAAGGAUCGGCUAACUCCGUGCCAGCAGCCGCGGUAAUACGGAGGAUCCGAGCGUUAUCCGGAUUUAUUGGGUUUAAAGGGAGCGUAGAUGGGUUGUUAAGUCAGUUGUGAAAGUUUGCGGCUCAACCGUAAAAUAGCAAUUGAUACUGGCAGUCUUGAGUACAGGUGAGGUAGGCGGAAUGCGUGGUGUAGCGGUGAAAUGCUUAGAUAUCGCGAAGAACUCCGAUUGCGAAGGCAGCUUACUAAACUGCCACUGACAUUGAUGCUCGAAAGUGUGGGUAUCAAACAGGAUUAGAUACCCGAGUAGUC